AACGCACCUUGCGCUCCUUGGUAUUCCGAGGAGCAUGCCUGUUUGAGUGUCUUGAAGUCAUCAACCCCUCCCGUUUUGCGCGGAGAGGACGGUUGGAUCUGGGGGCCUGCUGCCGUCAGGCGGCUCCCCUCAAAUGCGUCGGUUGGGCCUGUGGGUCGAACUCGGUUUGGGCGUUGUACCAUCCUCGCUCUGGUCUGAGAUGUUCCCCUUCUGUUGAGCCCUUCCACAGACCACCCCAUCUGGAGUUGGUGGUCAAGCUGAACUUUGAAAUCUGACCUCAAAUCAGGUAGGACUACCCGCUGAACUUAA
This 309-nucleotide unclassified non-coding RNA is filed under the name uncultured fungus. RNAcentral's name for it is "partial contains 5.8S ribosomal RNA, internal transcribed spacer 2, and large subunit ribosomal RNA". The stretch from base 1 to 52 matches the Rfam family "5.8S ribosomal RNA", at positions 103 to 154 of the family's 154-position model. Lineage: Eukaryota; Fungi. The record is from RNAcentral.